Molecule: ribosomal RNA, 420 nt
Filed under: uncultured bacterium
Lineage: Bacteria
Description: partial 16S ribosomal RNA
Rfam family: Bacterial small subunit ribosomal RNA
Source: RNAcentral
GAUAUUGGACAAUGGGGGCAACCCUGAUCCAGCCAUGCCGCGUGUGUGCAGAAGGUCUUCGGGUUGUAAAGCACUUUAAGUUGGGAGGAAGGGAUCUAGGUUAAUACACUAAAGUUUUGACGUUACCAACAGAAUAAGCACCGGCUAACUCUGUUCCAACAGCCGCGUUAAUACAGAGGGCGCAAGCGUUAAUCGGAAUUACUGGGCGUAAAGCGCGCGUAGGUGGUUCAGUAAGAUGGGUGUGCAAUCCCCGGGCUUAACCUGGGAACUGCUUUCAUAACUGCUGAGCUAGAGUACGGUAGAGGGUAGUGGAAUUUCCUGUGUAGCGGUGAAAUGCGUGGAUAUAGGAAGGAACACCAGUGGCGAAGGCGACUACCUGGACUGAUACUGACACUGAGGUGCGAAAGCGUGGGGAGCGAA